UACGUAGGUGACCAGCGUUGUCCGGAUUUACUGGGCGUAAAGAGCGCGCAGGCGGUCGUUCAAGUCGAGUGUGAAAGCCCCCGGCUCAACUGGGGAGGGUCAUUCGAUACUGAUCGACUGGAAGGCAGGAGAGGGAAGCGGAAUUCCCGGUGUAGUGGUGAAAUGCGUAGAUAUCGGGAGGAACACCAGUGGCGAAGGCGGCUUCCUGGCCUGUUCUUGACGCUGAAGCGCGAAAGCCAGGGGAGCAAACGGG
Molecule: ribosomal RNA, 253 nt
Filed under: uncultured bacterium
Lineage: Bacteria
Description: partial 16S ribosomal RNA
Rfam family: Bacterial small subunit ribosomal RNA
Source: RNAcentral